This 383-nucleotide ribosomal RNA is filed under the name uncultured bacterium. RNAcentral describes it as "bacterial SSU rRNA". It matches the Rfam family "Bacterial small subunit ribosomal RNA", at positions 32 to 407 of the family's 1533-position model. The record is from RNAcentral.
AAUCAACGCUGGCGGCGUGCCUCAGACAUGCAAGUCGAACGAUUAAAGCUCUCUUCGGAGAGUGUAUAGAGUGGCGCACGGGUGAGUAACACGCAAGUAAUCUACCUUUGAGUGGGAAUAACAGUCGGAACGACUGCUAAUACCGCAUAAUGCAGCGGCACCGCAAGGUGACAGUUGUUAAAGGAGCAAUUCGCUUAAAGAGGAGCUUGCGGCAGANAGUCUUGUUGGUAAGGUAACGGCUUACCAAGGCUACGAUCUGUAUCCGGUCUUAGAGGACGGUCGGACACACUGACACUGAAUAACGGGUCAGACUCCUACGGGAGGCAGCAGUCGGGAAUUUUGGGCAAUGGGCGAAAGCCUGACCCAGCAACGCCGCGUGAAGG